RNAcentral lists this long non-coding RNA (7074 nucleotides) under Paramuricea clavata. Lineage: Eukaryota; Metazoa; Cnidaria; Anthozoa; Malacalcyonacea; Plexauridae. The record is from RNAcentral.
UGCAUCAGCCCUGAUAGCAAUUGCACAAGCCAUUGCGUGCACGACGGAAGUUGGAAGUGUUGAACUGCUUUAUACUAUUUUAAUAUCAGGUUAAUUUAAAAGAAGUACAUUGAAAUCAGGUAAAACGUUAUUUCACUCCUAUCCUACUGUUUAUAGUGUAGUAGUGGCAUCUUAGCCUUUCUUUAUAUGUGAUAUGAAACUCCGUUAGUCCGAUGGAAUUAAGGUAUCAGUUUACCGUCGCCUAAAAUUUCAAAAGUUGAUGCGGAUUUUUUUCAUUAUUCAUUAUUUUUCACGAUUUGAAUUUGUCAAAUUUUGAGCUAAAAAUCCGAAUUUCGACCGAAAAAGUUCCAAGAAAAUUUUGACGAUUCUUGAGCUUUUUGCUAGCUUCCGAGCUAUCAGCUGUCUUUGACUCUACGUUUCGCUUGGCUGACUAUAAACUGUAUAAACAAAGUCAAUGACAGUGUUCCAAUAAUUUCAACAGAAAGCCAUUUUUGAAACACUUGCUAUACAAGUUUUACAAAUAAUGAAAAAUAUUGAAAUAAUGAAAAUUUCACGCGGGCUGCCAAUAACACACGGUAAACUGAUACGCCAAUCCCAUCGUGUGUACUGUGUAAGACACGUGUACAAUGUCUUGCUUCGUUGCCAGGCUGUUGUGUAUGUUGCUGAUUUAUGUUGUUUCUCGGACUCAUUUCUAAGUUGGAAGUAUUGCAUGCUAUCAAGGCUAGCCUAUAAAAAAGUAUAAUGAUUAAAUGUAAAUAUUAAGCAAGGGUUUUACCCUGCAAGCAAAGCCUGAUUUCUUCCGGGAAAGUGAAGGGCAGUAGAAAGUUUAAGCUUCGCUUUAUACGACAAACGGCAGGCAAAUAAAAAUUUUACGGUAUCAGGCAAUAAAGUGUAAAUGAACUUGCUGUUUUAAAACACGAAAUACAUAAUUAUUCUUUCGACACAAGAAACGUUCAACGAAAACGUUCAACAAAAAUUUUGCCAAGAAAAUUCGAACCUGCCUUUUGCCGUUCCCGGAAAUGUGAAGCUUAAACUCCCUAAUGCUUCUACAAACACAUUCAAAAGUAGGUACGCGACGCGUACAUGUAUCUACGAAAAAACUUGAUUCACAUUUUGUAUUUUCUUGAAAAGGAACUGAAUAAUGAAGAUGACAUGGGGCAAUUGAAAUAUUUCAUCACUUAUUAUAUAAUAGCGAAUAAGAUUUUAAAGUCGAACAUAAUAGACAUGUCUAAUAUUAGAUGUGUCUAAUAGGGCUGUCACAGUGCGGAGGGCGACAGGGGCAACUGCUGCCGAGAAAAUUUAACUAAUUUUAUGUGAAUUUAUGUGGUGUUUCCACAAACAAAACUAUUAUAAUUUUAUGUGAUUAUAAUGAUUGUAACAGAUUAUGCAGUCAGGAAAUAAAAAUUUCAUGCAAACAAUAUUCGAAGUGCCUAUACAAGUCGGCAUGCAGCUGGUUAUUUAGUAAUCUGUCACUUGUCAAUCCCCAUACUCGUUAAAUUUUCAAAACUUUAUUGUAAUCAUAUGAAGCAAACGUUCUGUCACUUGUUGUUUACACUUGGCAAUGCUAACUAUUGAGUAACAUACACUUGUAAAGUAUUCGAGGAACAUGCAUUACUGUAGAAAUGAGUCAAUCAUAUAUCGACUAGACCACUGAAUAGUAGAGAAUGUUUUAAAGGUCAUGAUUGAAGUAUAUAAUUCAAUUCCAAUCCUGUGCACAGUUAAUGAUAUACCACACUGUUCGGUUUAACCACAGCAUAUCCACACAAAAACAAUUUGUGUUGUGGGAGAAUAUCUGUUUGAGUAGAAGGUAUCACAAGUUUAGUUUUGUAAAUAUAUUGUGUGCCAUUGAUCUGAUCCAUCCAUAUAAUUAUUAAAUGUAUUAUUGUAGCUGUUAAGUUAUUUUCCAUACUAAUGAAUUUAGGUAAGAUUGUCUUGCAACUGCAAGUGGCCAUUGUUCUGACAAAAUUAUCCAGACAUUAAUAUCCAGUCCAUUUAUUCAUUCUUGUAUCAGUCUCUAAACAAAAACAUUUAUGUUAGGGAGCAGUCAUUAUUAAUGCCUUUCUUCACUUAAAAUAUUUCAAAUAUGUAAUACCAAAACCAAAACAUUCUAUUUUAAUUGUUCUAUUUUAUACAAAUUCUAUUAUUUAUUAUUAGUUAUACUUUUUAACUUUUGUGAAUUUUAUUAUUUGAACAAUAGUACUAGAUGAAAUUCAGCACUAUAAUGCCUACAAUAUAAAGGUGAUUUUUGAGAAUUACAUUAUUCCCACAUAUUUUGUUUAUUGAUGUUGUGCUGCAAGUUACUUUAUAAUAGUACCAUGCAAUUCACUUGCACAGAUUACACAAUUUGAAAAAUGGCAAUAAGCAUUUUGAAACCAGACUGCCACCAAAAUUUCAAAAGCUGUCAGUGGGGUGUGGAGGAGGGGCAUGCCCCAAGGCUUGCACUUAACCAACAUUCACAUGCACGGUCCUGGGCAGAACCCUGAUUAGGUGUUGGUGUGCAUUGCAAUUCACAGCAAGACGUUUCUGUACUUUGAAAAAUAUUUUACGACAGUGUGGGCAUGUGGCCAUUGUAAUCCUCGCAUAGUAGGUGAUUUUGGGGCACGAAAGUCUGUCAAAACGCAACAUUGAAUUAAUUGGCUGUCGGCCUGUAAAUCACUUUUCAUAUUUCAUUUAAUGUUCUGAACAAUAUUACCCUGGAUUCCAGAGCCUUCGACAGUAAAUAAUAAAUUGAAAUGUCGCGAAGGCUCUGGUUCAACGGGGCGAUUCUUUGAUUAAACCGCGCCAAACACAAAACAGAAUUAGUGGUUUUAGUACAGAAUCCAGUGUAGAACAAUAUGUGAAAAUUGCAGAAUUUACGUGAAAUGCAUCGGGAGAAAAGCUUGGUUGCUAAAUGUCACCCCUCUCAACUUCAAAAUACAAACAUUUCUGAAGCUGAAGCAGAAAUGUGUUGGACUUUCAUGGUUGCCCAUGUUGUUUCCCAAUUACAUACUCUGUCUUGAAGGUAUCCAUUUUUCGUCGUAUGGAAUUGAAAAUGAACAAGAUGGCUAAAUUUCUGCAUGUCGAAUCUUCUCCAGAACGCAGGAACAUGAUGUUAUUAUUUCAGAAACUAUAGAUAUUGAAAUUUUUCAGGGAAGCACAUGCCAACUAAAACAUCCCACCACCUAUUGUAUAAUGGCCAUGUUGCCCCUUUCCAUUACAAUUUUGAUAUUACGAUCAAACAACCUUCAUACAAUAUUACAGUUACUCCAUGUGAACGUGUGCAUAUAGUGAGGGUUCAGAGCAAGUGCCUUUCACCUGUGGCGGACACUUCACGAAAUAUUGGGGGGGGGGGGUCAACAUGCAUGUCAAAUGGGGUUUCGGUGUCCGUUUAAGGCUCUAAAUUAUGCGAAUCGUUCAGAACAUAGAUCACUUGAUGAAAUGAAUAAAGAGUACCGAGUUAUGCCAUUUGACUGACAUUAGAUACUUUUUCUAAGAUAAUUAAUUAUGUCCAUUAGUGUUGUUUAAUGUACAGUCAUAACUAUCAAUUCUAUAAAUGGUUUAAAUAUUUUUAUCAGUAGAGCUGCAAGGAAUCCUGCACAGAACAAAACAGAUUGUAUAAAAUGCGUAUGUUGCGGCAUCAUUGGCAAUCAUUGCACAGUAUCAUAUGCUUGCUAUAUGGCUAACUUAAUUAGCUUAAGUUUUAUUUAAUAGUCGUUAUUUAUAAUAUGACAAUUACGUUAUAUGGGUAUAAAUUGUAUGCUUGCCACUUGCUCCUAAACAAUGCUUGUGAAUUGUGAUAUUUGGUACCAGACUUUAAUAAGAGAUCGUUGGUUCGUUAAUUCUCUCGUUGCCCACUCAUGUGAAAAGAGUCAGUCAUUAACGCUUUGCCGAAAGUAGUGCACGUGGGCUUUCUCCGUGUACUCUUAUGUCUUCCCACAGGGAAAGUUGACAGGGCCCGGGUUAUGAUAAGCUUAGUAGGUAUAGUCAAGAAAGUAAGAUCACAAUUGUUGUAAAGAUAAAAUAGUCUAGGUUAAGUAUAUAAUUAGAUUAGCGCGUAAUACUUGAUAUCAUAUAGAAUUUGCGCAGCAGAAAUCUUAUUUUUCAUCCCUGUAAUGUUGUUUUAAAUAUCCGCGCUGCAGCGCUAGUUGUACUCCUUAUAUUCAUCAUAUUUUAAAACAAAUAUUUUACUGCACUCUAAUUUAAUUUCGCCAGCAAACUGUUAUGAGUAUAAGGGUAAUAUGGCAUGGCAAAAGUCCAGAGCGUGCGAUAUUCAAGAAAACUAGGUGUAUCCUAGGAAUUUGCCAGUUUGGUUGGGGCGGGGCGAAGCUACGACUGGACGAAUUUUUUCAAUGUAAAGUCGAGAGUAACUAAUAAUUGAUAUAAUGGAAAAUUGUUUAUUGUGGAGUGGGGAUUGAAUUAGUGCUACCUUGUCCCAGGGCCACCAAGCAUGCAAAAAUGUUUGCCUCUAAUAAUGUUAAAUUACUAACCUGACUAAAUAAACCAUUUAAUUUAGAUUUCUAAUUUUUUUUCCAAAGUGAAGCAACAUGUGUGGCAUUUGGGCAAUAUUUGGAACCUCCGAAGAUAUCUCGGAUUAUUUUAACUGCGCCUUAAAAAUUGCUCAUCGUGGUCCUGAUUGUUUUCGUCUAGAGAGCAUACCAAGUUUUGGUAACUCAUGUCUGGCCUUUCAUCGCCUUGCAGUUGUCGACAGCGUCUACGGAAUGCAACCGAUGCGAGUGUUUUCCCUUCCCCACCUCUAUGUUAUCUACAAUGGUGAGAUUUAUAACCACAAAGCAUUGGGAAAGCAGUAUGGCUUUAACUACCACACCAAGUGCGAUGGAGAAGUAAUUUUGCAUUUGUAUAACCAAUUUGGAGGUGAGAAAACGGCGCAAAUGUUGGACGGUGUUUUUGCGUUUGUUAUUGUAGAUACAACAAAGAAGGAAAUCCAUCUUGGCCGCGAUACUUUUGGCGUUCGACCGAUGUUUAUGCUAAAGACGGGAGAUCAAUGUUUAGCAAUCUGCUCUGAAGUCAAGGGUUUGUUGAAGUUGCAGAAAGAUUUGGAUGGUAUAAAAUCUGUUAUCGAGCCCUUUCGUCCCGGCCAUCAUGCAGGCUUAUCUUUCAACGAUGAUGGAGUGGCAACGAUAAAGAAGAUGGCGCCUUACACAAGCUUGACCAAGAUACCAGAAUUUGAUUUCUCGGUGAAAGUGAAAAGUGACAUUAAAGAGAACAUUCGAGCACUGUUUACUGAAGCCGUUCGUAAACGUCUCAUGUCUGAUCGACGCAUAGGUUGUCUUUUAUCUGGAGGUCUAGAUUCCAGUCUUGUUGCUGCUGUGUUAGUGAAACUUGCACGUGAAUCUGGUAUAUCUUAUCCCAUCCAGACGUUCUCUGUCGGAAUGACUGGAAGCACUGAUCUUGCCGCCGCCAGAAAGGUUGCUGACUUUCUGGAUACAGAACAUCACGAGUUGGUUUUCACUCCAGAAGAAGGUCUGGCUGCUAUCCCUGACGUCAUAGAGUAUUUAGAAAGUUAUGAUAUCACUACAGUAAGGGCUUCAGUUGGAAUGUAUUUAAUCAGUAAAUACAUUCGUGAGGAGACAGAUACUGUGGUAAUAUUCUCUGGUGAAGGUUCUGAUGAACUAGCACAGGGUUAUAUCUAUUUUCAUAAAGCCCCCUCUGCUGAAGAAGCUGAUGUUGAAUCGAAACGUCUCCUAGAAGACCUUUACCUCUACGAUGUCCUUCGCGGUGAUCGUUCUACUGCUGCCCAUGGCUUGGAAAUCCGUGUUCCAUUCCUCGAUGUUGCUUUCACAUCCUAUUUUCUCUCCUUAACACCCUCUAUACGUCAACCUCAUGAAAAAGUUGAAAAGUAUCUUCUGCGUUCUGCAUUUGACGAGGAAGGUUUACUUCCAAACGAAAUCCUUUGGCGGCCUAAAGAAGCUUUCAGUGAUGGCGUAUCAUCCACCAAAGCUGGCGAGUCUUGGUACGAGAUUAUCCAGAAGCAUUGUACGAAGAUCGUGAGUGAUAUUAAGUUGGAGACGGCAGCAGAGCGGUAUCCAUUCUGCACUCCCAAGACCAAGGAAGCGUAUUACUACCGCAAAAUCUUCGAGAAUAAAUAUCCUGGGCAGAGUCAUUUAAUUCCCUAUAUGUGGUUGCCCAAGUGGUCUGAAAGCCAAGAUCCGUCUGCACGUACCCUGGCUCAUUACACUCAGGAAUGAAGUGAGACUAGAACAUGAAACAGUAGUUUCCUAUCUUAAAUGGCUACUGAUUUAAACUUAUUUAUUUGUAUAUCUCGUUCUAGAGUUAAAAUUCGUUGUAAAUGUUAAUAUGAUAAGCAGAACAUUGGGACAAAUGGCACUGUAUUAUGCAUGUCUAAUAGUUGUUAAUAUCCAUUAAAGGGCUGUUUAUAUGUGGCGAGCUAGCUCAGCUGCUUUGUUUUGGCCCGUCUGAAUAGUCUCAUGUAAGAACAACUGAAGUUCGUCUCGGGAAAGCGAGUUAGCUCGGUCUAAAAACAGCCCUAAAGAAAGUGGUUUCUACCAUUAGGAUAAAGAUAAGUUGUACUGUCGUGAAUAAAACAGAUGGUUGUUUUGACUGCAAGUCUCACAACAUCGCAAACGAUCUAAAGUUCCUUGAAUGUCCCUUUCAGCCAUAAUCCCAUAAUAUUCUUAUUCUGAAUUUUUAAAACUCGAAUAUUCUGAUUUGUCUCCUUAAGUUUUUGUUGAUCCACUUCAUGGAGUCUGUUGUAACGAUGACCGUUCUCCUGAUCUCAUCUUUACAAUUAGCCCCAGAUCGAGGUUCAGCGGGAUAUCAACGCUAAAUGAGCCUGGGACUUACUGUGACCUUUUUGGAAAGCUCGUUCUGGGAAACGCGGAUUCAGCUCGAAAGUAAAAGCUAUGCAAAUUAAUGUAUUGUGUGAUAUUGUGCAACACACCAACUGUGCCAAGAUGUGAAAUUUUACCUUUCUUGGAGAUUAUUAUUAUGAUGAUUAUUAAAAAUACAUGCUCCCAAACUUACUUCGUUACUUGACACUACUGGCCUUAUGAGUUAUGUAAUGCUAAUAGUGUUAGUUUUCCCGGAAUUUAAUAAAUCAAGGCUCGAGUAUUUAAA